Molecule: transfer-messenger RNA, 414 nt
Filed under: Coxiellaceae
Lineage: Bacteria; Pseudomonadati; Pseudomonadota; Gammaproteobacteria; Legionellales
Also listed under: 3 other names
Description: UBA9148 sp003450655 Standard tmRNA
Rfam family: transfer-messenger RNA
About the family: Bacterial tmRNA, also known as 10Sa RNA or SsrA, is named for its dual tRNA and mRNA-like properties. Its role is to liberate the mRNA from a stalled ribosome. To accomplish this part of the tmRNA is used as a reading frame that ends in a translation stop signal.
Source: RNAcentral
GGGGGCGACCUGGCUUCGACGAGGGCUGCUAAACCUAAAGUGCAUGUCGAGUAGACAACGAAGCUCGUAAAACCCAAUGUUGUAACUUUAAUAGCUGGAAACAAGAAACUAGCUGCUAAUGAUUCUAACUUUGCACCUGUGGCUGUUGCUGCAUAACAAAGUCUGAAUCCGCCGUCUUAAAAACACGGCAUAGCCUACUCACCCGGUUUGCUUAUAGGCGGGGAUUCGAGUAGUCAUAGCAUAUAAGCUCGCUAGCCUCUAUGGCCCAUAGGGAUCUAGUCAAAACUCAGGGCUCGCGUUGGACUUAUUCCUGCCAAUCGGGUAAUCCUUCGUUAAAUAAUAGAUUGGGCUAAACAUGUAGAGCUGAGGGCAGAUCACCAGCGGACGCGGGUUCGAUUCCCGCCGCCUCCACCA